Molecule: ribosomal RNA, 408 nt
Filed under: uncultured Clostridium sp.
Lineage: Bacteria; Bacillati; Bacillota; Clostridia; Eubacteriales; Clostridiaceae
Description: bacterial SSU rRNA
Rfam family: Bacterial small subunit ribosomal RNA
Source: RNAcentral
GGGGGAAUAUUGCACAAUGGGGGAAACCCUGAUGCAGCAACGCCGCGUGAAGGAUGAAGGUUUUCGGAUCGUAAACUUCUAUCAACAGGGACGAAACAAAUGACGGUACCUGAAUAAGAAGCCCCGGCUAACUACGUGCCAGCAGCCGCGGUAAUACGUAGGGGGCAAGCGUUAUCCGGAAUUACUGGGUGUAAAGGGAGCGUAGGCGGCACGUCAAGCCAGAUGUGAAAGCCCGGGGCUUAACCCCGUGGAUUGCAUUUGGAACUGGCGAGCUAGAGUACAGGAGAGGAAAGCGGAAUUCCUAGUGUAGCGGUGAAAUGCGUAGAUAUUAGGAAGAACACCAGUGGCGAAGGCGGCUUUUCUGGACUGAAACUUGACGCUGAGGCUCGAAAGCGUGGGGAGCAAACA